UAUAGCUCAGUGGCAAAGUGCUUGCCUAGCAUGCAUGAAGCACUGGGUUCGAUUCUCAGUA
This 61-nucleotide transfer RNA is filed under the name Ictidomys tridecemlineatus (thirteen-lined ground squirrel). Its description in RNAcentral is "Spermophilus tridecemlineatus (thirteen-lined ground squirrel) tRNA". It matches the Rfam family "tRNA", at positions 6 to 65 of the family's 71-position model. From Rfam's summary of the family: Transfer RNA (tRNA) molecules are approximately 80 nucleotides in length. Their secondary structure includes four short double-helical elements and three loops (D, anti-codon, and T loops). Lineage: Eukaryota; Metazoa; Chordata; Mammalia; Rodentia; Sciuridae. The record is from Rfam by way of RNAcentral.